RNAcentral lists this small RNA (89 nucleotides) under Mytilus galloprovincialis (Mediterranean mussel). Lineage: Eukaryota; Metazoa; Mollusca; Bivalvia; Mytilida; Mytilidae. The record is from RNAcentral.
AUCCUCUUUUAAUACUUUGUCUGUGAUGUCCUUAUAGACUUUGUCGGAUCCUCUAUAAGGACAUCACAGACAAAGUAUUAAAAGAGGAU